AAAAUCGAGCGGGGNGAUGUAGCUUGCUACAUUACCUAGCGGCGGACGGGUGAGUAAUGCUUAGGAAUCUGCCUAUUAGUGGGGGACAACAUUCCGAAAGGGAUGCUAAUACCGCAUACGCCCUACGGGGGAAAGCAGGGGAUCUUCGGACCUUGCGCUAAUAGAUGAGCCUAAGUCAGAUUAGCUAGUUGGUGGGGUAAAGGCCUACCAAGGCGACGAUCUGUAGCGGGUCUGAGAGGAUGAUCCGCCACACUGGGACUGAGACACGGCCCAGACUCCUACGGGAGGCAGCAGUGGGGAAUAUUGGACAAUGGGCGAAAGCCUGAUCCAGCCAUGCCGCGUGUGUGAAGAAGGCCUUUUGGUUGUAAAGCACUUUAAGCGAGGAGGAGGCUACCUAGAUUAAUACUCUUGGAUAGUGGACGUUACUCGCAGAAUAAGCACCGGCUAACUCUGUGCCAGCAGCCGCGGUAAUACAGAGGGUGCGAGCGUUAAUCGGAUUUACUGGGCGUAAAGCGUGCGUAGGCGGCUUUUUAAGUCGGAUGUGAAAUCCCUGAGCUUAACUUAGGAAUUGCAUUCGAUACUGGGAAGCUAGAGUAUGGGAGAGGAUGGUAGAAUUCCAGGUGUAGCGGUGAAAUGCGUAGAGAUCUGGAGGAAUACCGAUGGCGAAGGCAGCCAUCUGGCCUAAUACUGACGCUGAGGUACGAAAGCAUGGGGAGCAAACAGGAUUAGAUACCCUGGUAGUCCAUGCCGUAAACGAUGUCUACUAGCCGUUGGGGCCUUUGAGGCUUUAGUGGCGCAGCUAACGCGAUAAGUAGACCGCCUGGGGAGUACGGUCGCAGACUAAACUCAAUUGA
RNAcentral lists this ribosomal RNA (854 nucleotides) under Acinetobacter johnsonii. Its description in RNAcentral is "bacterial SSU rRNA". It matches the Rfam family "Bacterial small subunit ribosomal RNA", at positions 58 to 908 of the family's 1533-position model. Lineage: Bacteria; Pseudomonadati; Pseudomonadota; Gammaproteobacteria; Moraxellales; Moraxellaceae. The record is from RNAcentral.